UACGUAGGUCACAAGCGCUAUCCGGAUUUAUUGGGCGUAAAGCGCGUCUAGGUGGUUAUGUAAGUCUGAUGUGAAAAUGCAGGGCUCGACUCUGUAUUGCGUUGGAAACUGUGUAACUAGAGUACUGGAGAGGUAAGCGGAACUACAAGUGUAGAGGUGAAAUUCGUAGAUAUUUGUAGGAAUGCCGAUGGGGAAGCCAGCUUAUCUGGACAGAUACUGACGCUGAAGCGCGAAAGCGUGGGUAGCAAACAGGAUUAGAU
Molecule: ribosomal RNA, 260 nt
Filed under: uncultured Fusobacteriaceae bacterium
Lineage: Bacteria; Fusobacteriati; Fusobacteriota; Fusobacteriia; Fusobacteriales; Fusobacteriaceae
Description: partial 16S ribosomal RNA
Rfam family: Bacterial small subunit ribosomal RNA
Source: RNAcentral